This 357-nucleotide ribosomal RNA is filed under the name uncultured bacterium. Its description in RNAcentral is "bacterial SSU rRNA". It matches the Rfam family "Bacterial small subunit ribosomal RNA", at positions 8 to 353 of the family's 1533-position model. The record is from RNAcentral.
AGAGUUUGAUCAUGGCUCAGGAUGAACGCCGGCGGCGUGCUUAACACAUGCAAGUCGAGGGGAAACGACAUCGAAAGCUUGCUUUUGAUGGGCGUCGACCGGCGCACGGGUGAGUAACGCGUAUCCAACCUGCCCACCACUUGGGGAUAACCUUGCGAAAGUAAGACUAAUACCCAAUGAUAUCUCUAGAAGACAUCUGAAAGAGAUUAAAGAUUUAUCGGUGAUGGAUGGGGAUGCGUCUGAUUAGCUUGUUGGCGGGGUAACGGCCCACCAAGGCAACGAUCAGGUAGGGGUUCUGAGAGGAAGGUCCCCCACAUUGGAACUGAGACACGGUCCAAACUCCUACGGGAGGCAGCA